UGAGGAAUAUUGGUCAAUGGAGGAAACUCUGAACCAGCCAUCCCGCGUGCAGGAUUGACGGCCCUAGAGGUUGUAAACUGCUUUUAUACAGGAAGAAACCCCCGAACGUGUUCGGGGCUGACGGUACUGUAAGAAUAAGCACCGGCUAACUCCGUGCCAGCAGCCGCGGUAAUACGGAGGGUGCAAGCGUUAUCCGGAUUUAUUGGGUUUAAAGGGUGCGCAGGCGGGGCAAUAAGUCAGUGGUGAAAUCCUACAGCUUAACUGUAGAACUGCCAUUGAUACUGUUGCUCUUGAGUACAGUUGCGGUAGGCGGAAUGUGGCAUGUAGCGGUGAAAUGCAUAGAUAUGCCACAGAACACCAAUUGCGAAGGCAGCUUACCAAACUGUUACUGACGCUCAGGCACGAAAGCGUGGGGAGCGAACAGG
This 425-nucleotide ribosomal RNA is filed under the name uncultured bacterium. Its description in RNAcentral is "bacterial SSU rRNA". It matches the Rfam family "Bacterial small subunit ribosomal RNA", at positions 355 to 776 of the family's 1533-position model. The record is from RNAcentral.